This is an RNA transcript of Aegilops tauschii subsp. strangulata, 1132 nucleotides long. It is a transcript of the gene named membrane protein PM19L, with no coding region annotated. The record is from RefSeq and is a predicted model, not a curated record. NCBI's taxonomy places the organism in Eukaryota, Viridiplantae, Streptophyta, Magnoliopsida, Poales, Poaceae.
CCACUCGACCACCUCAUCCAGAAAUAAUCACUUUCUCCAUUCGAUUCUUCCUCUUGCUCUUGCACCCAAUCUCCUCGCUACGUAGUUAGCUAAUCUAACCAUCAGUCCACCAAAGCCAAUCCACUGAGUGCGAGAGCUCCAUCUCCAUCUCGAUCUCGACCAAGGAGAGGAAGCUAGCUAGCUAGCAACAGGCAGCAGCAAUGGCGGGCGUGGGUCGUAACAUGGUGGCGCCGCUGCUGGUGCUGAACCUCAUCAUGUACCUCAUUGUCAUCGGCUUCGCAAGCUGGAACCUCAACCACUUCAUCAACGGCCUCACCAACCGCCCCGGCGUCGGCGGCAACGGAGCCACCUUCUACUUCCUCGUCUUUGCCAUCCUCGCGGGCGUCGUCGGCGCCGCAUCCAAGCUCGCCGGCGUGCACCACGUCCGCACAUGGCGCGGUGACAGCCUCGCCACCUCCGCCUCGUCCUCGCUCGUGGCAUGGGCCAUCACCGCCUUGGCGUUCGGGCUGGCGUGCAAGGAGAUCCACAUCGGCGGGUACCGCGGGUGGCGCCUCAGGGUGCUGGAGGCGUUCGUCAUUAUCCUGGCCUUCACGCAGCUGCUUUACGUGCUGGCGCUGCACUCCGGCCUCUUCGGGAACCAGUUGGGGGUGGCAACCAUGCUGGUGGGUACCCGGCGGAGCAUGCGUACGGCGCAGGCGGCGACCCGCACAACAAGGGCAUGGGCACCGGCGGCGUAGCCAGGGUCUGAAUCGGGUAGAGACCUCGCCGUGCUCCAUCGCUUGGCGGUUGACAGUGACGGGCGGAUAAUAAGGUGUGUGUGUGUGUGUGUGUGUGUGUGUUCCGUCCCGUAUGGUGUGAGCGUACGUUGUAUGCAGACAUGGUGUGCACGGUAGGCAUGUAGUGACGGCGUGCGUGCGUACAUGUGUAGUACUGCAGGAUGGGCCCUUCUUCUUAGUGUGUUUUGUGUUUAUUAUGUAGUCCGAGAUCAAGAUGGAGAUCGAUCAGUCCAUGCUAUGCUUCUUCAUUCUCCGACCAGACAAUUGCAAUGCAUGUCUGGGUGUGGAUGAAUGGCUGCACUUGUUUAAUUUAGUACUACUACUCUACAAAUCCGUUUGUGUUGUGUUGUGCCCAA